UAGCUCAGUUGGUAAAGAAUCUGCCUACAAUGCAGAAGACCCUGGUUCAAUUCCUGG
Molecule: transfer RNA, 57 nt
Filed under: Bos indicus (zebu cattle)
Lineage: Eukaryota; Metazoa; Chordata; Mammalia; Artiodactyla; Bovidae
Also listed under: 3 other names
Rfam family: tRNA
About the family: Transfer RNA (tRNA) molecules are approximately 80 nucleotides in length. Their secondary structure includes four short double-helical elements and three loops (D, anti-codon, and T loops).
Source: Rfam by way of RNAcentral